This 465-nucleotide ribosomal RNA is filed under the name uncultured bacterium. RNAcentral's name for it is "partial 16S ribosomal RNA". It matches the Rfam family "Bacterial small subunit ribosomal RNA", at positions 338 to 795 of the family's 1533-position model. The record is from RNAcentral.
CCUACGGGGGGCAGCAGUGGGGAAUAUUGCGCAAUGGGCGAAAGCCUGAAGCAGCGACGCAGCGUGAGGGAUGAAGGUCUUCGGAUCGGAAACCUCUGUCAGCAGGGAAGAACAGUCACUGUGCUAAUCAGCAGUGAAUUGACGGUACCUGCAAAGGAAGCACAGGCUAACUCCGUGCCAGCAGCCGCGGUAAUACGGAGGGUGCGAGCGUUAAUCGGAAUUACUGGGUGUAAAGCGCGCGUAGGUGGUAUGUCAAGUCAAGGGUGAAAUCCCCGGGCUCAACGUUGGAACUGCCUUUGAUACUGGCAAACUGGAGUGUGUGAGAGGAUAGUGGAAUUCCAGGUGUAGGAGUGAAAUCCGUAGAUAUCUGGAGGAACACCAGUGACGAAGGCGACUAUCUGGCACAUCACUGACGCUGAGGAGCGAAAGCGUGGGUAGCAAACAGGAUUAGAUACCCUUGUAGUC